CUAGUGAGUGGGCAAAGCAGCACUCCAUUUAUAAACCCUCUCCUGUUUUCUUGCUCCCUCCCUACUGUUUUCUCUUGCGACUCAACCCUCUCCUGUUUUCUUCCUCCUUCCCUAUUAUUUUCCCUGGCGACCCGCUUGUUCCUCCCGAGCGCCCCUUUCUUCUCUUUGAUGGCGGACAAUGAUUACUCAGCGGUGCUGGAGAAUGGAUCUACUUGAUGCUUGGCUUGUGCCAAG
This 234-nucleotide long non-coding RNA is filed under the name Elaeis guineensis (African oil palm). Its description in RNAcentral is "long non-coding RNA (EGUI_LNC029152)". The record is from RNAcentral. Lineage: Eukaryota; Viridiplantae; Streptophyta; Magnoliopsida; Arecales; Arecaceae.